RNAcentral lists this ribosomal RNA (246 nucleotides) under uncultured Bacillota bacterium. RNAcentral describes it as "uncultured Firmicutes bacterium partial 16S ribosomal RNA". It matches the Rfam family "Bacterial small subunit ribosomal RNA", at positions 796 to 1041 of the family's 1533-position model. Lineage: Bacteria; Bacillati; Bacillota. The record is from RNAcentral.
CACACUGUAAACGAUGAGUGCUAGGUGUAGGAGGUAUCGACCCCUUCUGUGCCGGAGUAAACGCAAUAAGCACUCCGCCUGGGGAGUACGGUCGCAAGAUUAAAACUCAAAGGAAUUGACGGGGGCCCGCACAAGCAGCGGAGCAUGUGGUUUAAUUCGACGCAACGCGAAGAACCUUACCAGGUCUUGACAUCCAGCAAAAGCUGUGGAAACACGGUGUGUCUUCGGACAUGAUGAGACAGGUGG